AACGAACGCUGGCGGCAUGCCUAACACAUGCAAGUCGAACGAGACCUUCGGGUCUAGUGGCGCACGGGUGCGUAACGCGUGGGAACCUGCCUUUAGGUUCGGAAUAACUCAGAGAAAUUUGAGCUAAUACCGGAUAAUGUCUUCGGACCAAAGAUUUAUCGCCUUUAGAUGGGCCCGCGUAAGAUUAGCUAGUUGGUGGGGUAAAGGCCUACCAAGGCGACGAUCUUUAGCUGGUCUGAGAGGAUGAUCAGCCACACUGGGACUGAGACACGGCCCAGACUCCUACGGAGGCAGCAGUGGGGAAUCUUAGACAAUGGGCGCAAGCCUGAUCUAGCCAUGCCGCGUGAGCGAUGAAGGCCUUAGGGUUGUAAAGCUCUUUCAGUGGGGGAAGAUAAUGACUGUACCCACAGAAGGAAGCCCCCGGCUAACCUCCGUGCCAGCAGCCGCGGUAAU
RNAcentral lists this ribosomal RNA (453 nucleotides) under uncultured bacterium. Its description in RNAcentral is "bacterial SSU rRNA". It matches the Rfam family "Bacterial small subunit ribosomal RNA", at positions 29 to 524 of the family's 1533-position model. The record is from RNAcentral.